Molecule: ribosomal RNA, 497 nt
Filed under: uncultured bacterium
Lineage: Bacteria
Description: partial 16S ribosomal RNA
Rfam family: Bacterial small subunit ribosomal RNA
Source: RNAcentral
GAUGAACGCUGGCGGCGUGCCUAAUACAUGCAAGUCGAGCGAACAGAUGAGGAGCUUGCUCCUCUGACGUUAGCGGCGGACGGGUGAGUAACACGUGGAUAACCUACCUAUAAGACUGGGAUAACUUCGGGAAACCGGAGCUAAUACCGGAUAAUAUAUUGAACCGCAUGGUUCAAUAGUGAAAGACGGUUUUGCUGUCACUUAUAGAUGGAUCCGCGCCGCAUUAGCUAGUUGGUAAGGUAACGGCUUACCAAGGCAACGAUGCGUAGCCGACCUGAGAGGGUGAUCGGCCACACUGGAACUGAGACACGGUCCAGACUACUACGGGAGGCAGCAGUAGGGAAUCUUCAGCAAUGGGCGCAAGCCUGACGGAGCAACGCCGCGUGAGUGAGGAAGGUCUUCGGAUCGUAAAACUCUGUUAUUAGGGAAGAACAAAUGUGUAAGUAACUAUGCACGUCUUGACGGUACCUAAUCAGAAAGCCACGGCUAACUACGUG